ACCCUCAUCCAGUAUGACCUCACCUUACCCAGUUUCUUUGCAAAGACUCUUUCCAAAUAAGGUCACAUUCUGAAGUUCUGGGGACACAUGAAUUUGGGGGGAAUGCUACUCCACCAUCUAGAAGAGAUGCCUUGCCUAUUAUGGCAGAUGACAUUCUAGCAGAUGACAGCAUUUGGUAUUUUUAGGAUUGUCACUUAUCAGAGGUCUGGAUAGAUAUUUCUCAAGGAAGAUGGGAGCAAGCCUGGCUAUUUGGGGAACAGAAGACUGGCAGCUGCAGCUCUAAUUUGACCCCUAGCCAGGUAAUUUCCAUAUGCCAUGGGUGCAGCUCUAAAAAGAAGAAAGGCAAGGAAUACAAGAAACCUCUAGAAGCUGGGAAGGAGGCAAGGAAUCAAGAACCUCCCUUGAGCCUCCAGGAAUGGAUGUGGCCCUGUUGCAGAGUGUCAGAGGGGAAUGUCCUUUUGGGUGCAGCGCUGGCGGACAGCCCUGUACUUGGGUGUGAUCAACAGUGACUGGGUCUACCAGGGCCUGCCUGGUGGCCUGGAAGGGAUGGCUUGGGUAACCAGGUGUUCCGAGGUGCGUGUGGUAAAGAUCUUAUGUAAAUACCAAAUGACCAUCACCUCUCCCUCUGACAGCCACACCUUUGGUUCUGGAAGUCUGGGCAGGAUGGCGUCACGGUGUGUUCAGCGCUGGGAGGGACCCCUCCCACUCCUGCCUUGCUGCUUUAAGUUUUCAUUGCGGCUCUGUUGGAGUUCUGGGUUUCUUUAAGCAUCUCAGGAGCACUUGGCAGGUGCACUGUAACCGCAGGUGAUGAGCCCAUCCGGCCAGCAUGCUGGCUGUGCCUGGGCUCGGGGCCGGAACCUUCUCAAUCGGUCCUGGACACGUGUCCCAGAUGCUGCUGACAGCCUCCCCCCCCAAGCUGCUUGUGCAGGGCAAGUGGCCAGUCUCCCCCCUCUUCUUUCCUGCCCUGACCCACCGGCGUGGGAUGUCAGGCAGCAGUGGGGGCUGGGUGGAGGGGACACUGACCCUGGCUGUCCCACUCUUGGAAUGCAGGCAACUGCAUUGCCCCCAAGGGGCCGCUUUAGAAGAAGGGGUCUUGUGUGUGUGAGGGGUUUUGCACUAAUUGUGUGUGCGUGCGCACGCAUGUGUGUAAGGGUUGGAUUCACUGUAUAGGAUGAUUUUGAACAACUCUUUAAAGCUGAGCCAGGAUAGCUCCCCUGGGCCUGAUAGGCACCGGGAGUGUGGGCUGUUGGCCUGAAAGGUGAGGCUCUCCGGGGGCUGGCAUGGGGGGUUUGCCCAGGGCCUGGUCCAGCUGGCCUCACAUGCUCGCCUCAGCCCUGCUCCAGAGCUGCCUGCGGCCUCCCGGGGCUCAGUCACCCAGAAUGCGAGGAAUGGCUGGGGAUGCUGCCUGGGCUUGUGUUUGGCCUCUGCCAAGGUCAAGUUGUCAGGGAGGACGAAGCCGGAGAAGCUCCCUCGCUGGGAGGGAGGAGGGGGGCCGAGACCGGCGUCUGGCAGUUCUUUUACAUGCAAACUCGACCCGUCCGCUCCUCUGCCUGGACCGCCCCAUCCCCUCCUCCCCCAGUUAGAGGGGUGGGGGGUGAGGAAUCUCGUGGGGGGCAUUAUCUCUGAUCUCGGCGUGGACAUCCUCGCCGGGUUGGCUGGCGAGCGGACACCUGGCUGGAAUAACAAUGAGCGGAGCUGGAGGACGCUCCGCAGGGAGGGCUCUGCUGAGCCAGCACUUGCUCCCUGCAUUUCCAUCCCUUCCUCCUCUGACAAAGGCCGGGCCUUUGGGAUGGUAAUGCUCUCUGGGCCGGCCUUGGCUCCGGGUGAAGAAUGAACUUGGAGGCCUGCCCAAGAGGCCGUACAGGCUCCUUUUUUCAUGCAGAUGUGCUGGGGAGCUUGGGGCACGUGCAGAGGGUGGAGCCGGGGCCUGGGAAUCCUGGGACCAGAAACAGAGCUGGUCUCGGCCGUCACCCCUUCGGGGGCAUCUCUUUGCAUGUGAAUGUGCCAGAGGUACUUGGUCACCCACCCUCCGCCCCCUGAUAAAAUUACCCCAUGAACCUAAACUAUGCCUUUGUAGUUAAGGUUAUAAACUAUAGUGGGAAGUCCAACUGGAAACCAUGCUGAAAGGAAAAUAGAAAAAAGCAACAACAGCAGUUCCUGUUGUGGCUCAGCGGUUACUGAACCUGACUAGCAGCCAUGAGGAUGUGGGUUCGAUCCUUGGUCUUGCUCAGCAGGUUAAGGAUCUGGCGUUGCCCUGAGCUGCGGCGUAGGUCAGUGGCUACAGCUCUGAUUGGACCCCUAGCCUGGGAACCUCCAUGUGCCGUAUGUGCCACCCUAAAAGACAAAAAGACAAAAGGGAAAAAAAAAAAAA
RNAcentral lists this long non-coding RNA (2371 nucleotides) under Sus scrofa (pig). RNAcentral's name for it is "lncRNA (ENSSSCG00030014863.1)". Lineage: Eukaryota; Metazoa; Chordata; Mammalia; Artiodactyla; Suidae. The record is from RNAcentral.